GACGAACGCUGGCGGCGUGCUUAACACAUGCAAGUCGAGCGGAAAGGCCCUUCGGGGUACUCGAGCGGCGAACGGGUGAGUAACACGUGAGUAACCUGCCCCUGACUCUGGGAUAAGCCCGGGAAACUGGGUCUAAUACCGGAUACGACACCUCCUGGCAUCGGGUUGGGUGUGGAAAGUUUUUUCGGUUGGGGAUGGACUCGCGGCCUAUCAGCUUGUUGGUGGGGUAGUGGCCUACCAAGGCGACGACGGGUAGCCGGCCUGAGAGGGCGACCGG
This 277-nucleotide ribosomal RNA is filed under the name uncultured bacterium. RNAcentral describes it as "partial 16S ribosomal RNA". It matches the Rfam family "Bacterial small subunit ribosomal RNA", at positions 28 to 307 of the family's 1533-position model. The record is from RNAcentral.